Molecule: long non-coding RNA, 929 nt
Organism: Helianthus annuus (common sunflower)
Lineage: Eukaryota; Viridiplantae; Streptophyta; Magnoliopsida; Asterales; Asteraceae
Exons: 3
Source: RefSeq, a predicted model, not a curated record
UAGUUCUAAUAUAGAUCCUUUUAUGAGUGAGUCUGAUCCAGUGAGUGUUAGAUGUGAGUCUGUAAUUCUUGUGUCUGAUUUUCAUAACUUCAGUUGUUCUUUGAUUGUAAAUAAUGAGAGUUCUUCUUGUGAUACGUGUUCUGCUUGCUGCAAAAACCUCUUCCGACGCUUGAAUCUUCAAAAAACAGUGAGAGAUUCGGUUCCAAUUUCACAGAUCUAUGUUCCGAUUGUUCGAUUUGGGUUCGAAUAGUGUAGAAUCUGGAAAUAUGAAGCAGAAAUCGUUGAAAACAUGAAACGAAUAUCGGAUUUCAGCUGUUGAUCUUGUGAAUCGGCUUUAUUCAGAUUCGCUUACAAGGAUGAGGUUUAUUAAGAUCCGUCAAGCAAAUCUCCAAUGGCGUCUUGUUGAACGACACUCACAACAACAAGUAUCUCAUACGACGUGUUUUUGAGCUUCAGAAAGGAUGGAAGAAAACUCAAGAGAUACUUCACUUCCAAUGAACGCCGGUGGUAGUGGUGGUGGCGGCAACGAUGGCGAACUGCUCCAAGAUAUAGUUGGUGGAGUGUUAGACAACAAUAUUGACGGCGGUGGUGGUGGCGGCAACGGUGGCGGACUGCUCUAAGAUAUAGUUGGUGGUGGCGGCAACGGUGGUGGACCGCUCCAAGAUAUAGUUGGUGGAGUCUUAGACAACAAUGACAUCAGUGGAGCAAAACCAACGUCACCACUUUUGUUAGACUCACCACCGGAAAUGAUAUAUGAUGAACCGCGGUGGUCGUGGUAUUUUGAUUAAAGAUGAUGCUGAUAGGAGAAUCUAUAUAUACAAUAUAUAAUAUUGUGUACGGUAUUUUCAUUAUAAUAUUGUGUACGGUAAUUUCAUCGAUCAUUAUCCUCCUAUAUAAUAAAGGAAAAGUUGAUAGGCCACGUGUCCUCA